UCUACAAAGAACUUCACAACUUUGGGAUCUUUAUAAAUCUGAAGGCCAACAGAAGAUAUUCAGGAGUCAUCCACUUGGGGAAGCCUAACUAAUAGCCUUGCAGAACAAAAAACUGUGGUUCUGUGUGAACACUGAAAAGCAUUGAUUUUCACACAAGAUGAAGAACACAGGCGCUUCCUGAGAGAAGUGAACAACUUUUGUGAAGCUGUGUUUUGCAGAAGGGCUUGACAUCAAAAAGAACAUCUGGAGAACAGCAAACCAGAGGGAUGUGUGCAAGGAAGUCCAGGAAAAUGGAGCAGUGAACCAAGGAACGAAAGAUCUAGGUCAGUGGCACCAACUCAGAAAGCAAAAGCAGCUGCUGGACCACAGCUCAGCCACAGGCUGGCAGAGCAAAAGACCCGGCAGCCCAGCCUGACCUGGAAGAA
Balaenoptera ricei (Rice's whale) is the source of this 425-nucleotide long non-coding RNA. RefSeq lists it as uncharacterized. The transcript has 3 exons. The record is from RefSeq and is a predicted model, not a curated record. NCBI's taxonomy places the organism in Eukaryota, Metazoa, Chordata, Mammalia, Artiodactyla, Balaenopteridae.